Molecule: ribosomal RNA, 463 nt
Filed under: uncultured Rhodoferax sp.
Lineage: Bacteria; Pseudomonadati; Pseudomonadota; Betaproteobacteria; Burkholderiales; Comamonadaceae
Description: bacterial SSU rRNA
Rfam family: Bacterial small subunit ribosomal RNA
Source: RNAcentral
ACCCGCACAAGCGGUGGAUGAUGUGGUUUAAUUCGAUGCAACGCGAAGAACCUUACCCACCUUUGACAUGUACGGAACCCUUUAGAGAUAGAGGGGUGCUCGAAAGAGAGCCGUAACACAGGUGCUGCAUGGCUGUCGUCAGCUCGUGUCGUGAGAUGUUGGGUUAAGUCCCGCAACGAGCGCAACCCUUGUCAUUAGUUGCUACAUUCAGUUGGGCACUCUAAUGAGACUGCCGGUGACAAGCCGGAGGAAGGUGGGGAUGACGUCAAGUCCUCAUGGCCCUUAUAGGUGGGGCUACACACGUCAUACAAUGGCUGGUACAAAGGGUUGCCAACCCGCGAGGGGGAGCCAAUCCCAUAAAGCCAGUCGUAGUCCGGAUCGUAGUCUGCAACUCGACUACGUGAAGUCGGAAUCGCUAGUAAUCGUGGAUCAGAAUGUCACGGUGAAUACGUUCCCGGGUCUU